UGGGGAAUAUUGCACAAUGGGCGAAAGCCUGAUGCAGCAACGCCGCGUGAGUGAUGAAGGCCUUCGGGUUGUAAAGCUCUGUCUUUUGGGACGAUAAUGACGGUACCAAAGGAGGAAGCCACGGCUAACUACGUGCCAGCAGCCGCGGUAAUACGUAGGUGGCAAGCGUUGUCCGGAUUUACUGGGCGUAAAGGAUGCGUAGGCGGAUUUUUAAGUGAGAUGUGAAAACCCUAAGCUUAACUUGGGGACUGCAUUUCGUACUGGAAAUCUAGAGUGCGGGAGAGGAGAAUGGAAUUCCUAGUGUAGCGGUGAAAUGCGUAGAGAUUAGGAAGAACACCAGUGGCGAAGGCGAUUCUCUGGACCGUAACUGACGCUGAGGCAUGAAAGCGUGGGUAGCAAACAGGAUUAGAUACCCUGGUAGUCCAUGCCGUAAACGAUGAGUACUAGGUGUAGGAGGUAUCGACCCCUUCUGUGCCGCAGUUAACACAAUAAGUACUCCGCCUGGGAAGUACGAUCGCAAGAUUAAAAACUC
This 532-nucleotide ribosomal RNA is filed under the name uncultured bacterium. RNAcentral describes it as "partial 16S ribosomal RNA". It matches the Rfam family "Bacterial small subunit ribosomal RNA", at positions 355 to 902 of the family's 1533-position model. The record is from RNAcentral.